This 241-nucleotide ribosomal RNA is filed under the name uncultured bacterium. Its description in RNAcentral is "partial 16S ribosomal RNA". It matches the Rfam family "Bacterial small subunit ribosomal RNA", at positions 335 to 573 of the family's 1533-position model. The record is from RNAcentral.
UGCCCUACGGGAGGCAGCAGUGAGGAAUAUUGGUCAAUGGACGAGAGUCUGAACCAGCCACGCAGCGUGAAGGAUGACUGCCCUAUGGGUUGUAAACUUCUUUUAUAAAGGAAUAAAACGAGGUGCGUGUGCCUUUUUGCAUGUACUUUAUGAAUAAGGAUCGGCUAACUCCGUGCCAGCAGCCGCGGUAAUACGGAGGCUCCGAGCGUUAUCCGGAUUUAUUGGGUUUAAAGGGAGAGUA